CCUACGUCAGUGGUGCAAACUUCUUGUCUUGAAGUUUUAUUGGUCUCCCGCGUAAACCAAGCUACUCAGCUUCUUUUCUCCACUGAAUUUUCCUACUGAGCUAUCCUCAUUCUAUUGUUCUCUAUAUCUCUAAUUAGCAUGUAAAUAGUCGCCUAGGCCGUCUCUCCUUCGAAUACCCUGGAUCAGCUGGGGCUGGUCCCCAGCACCCGGGUGUGUCUGGAAUGCAACCCCGAGAUCCCUGUCGCCCCUGGAGAGGAACACUGGCUUCUGGACACAAGCCUAGAUGAGGUCUAUUGGCCCUGCAGUCACUCGAGAGCAAUCCCCAGCUUUCCUUCGCAACUCGAAUGGAAGAUUGGACUUCCCUGGGCCAACACAAGAGGCAUCCUGAAUUCCCCGUCGUAACUCGAGAAUCCCGCUGCAACUCGAGAAAAUCCACGUGGUUCCCCCGUCAUCGCAAGAUGAAGCCCUUUCCCGCUACAGUGUCUCAGGAGAAGUCCCACGUUAGGUAUUGGAGUUCGAAACGGUACUUGUCACCCUUGAUGCGACCCACAAAGUGCCCCGACAUCCCGGUCUCCCUCAAGAGGAACACCGAAGUUUUCCCGCACCACUUCCUCUGAGCCCCUUCUACCCUCCUGAUCUGGACAGGAGGGUCGACUCCCCUGCUUUGUCUGGAAGGGGUUCCCGACCUUCCGGUCGCACCUCAGGAUGAGGCCGGUCUCACGACGACAUUCCAGACGUGGCCUCGUGGGUGGUUCCACAUUCCGAAGGACCCCGAUUUCCCGGUCCCCUCUUGAUAAGAACCCGAUGCCCGGACACCUCUUCG
Molecule: long non-coding RNA, 823 nt
Organism: Bos taurus (domestic cattle)
Lineage: Eukaryota; Metazoa; Chordata; Mammalia; Artiodactyla; Bovidae
Source: Ensembl